This 380-nucleotide ribosomal RNA is filed under the name Thalassiosira sp. RCC5351. RNAcentral's name for it is "SSU rRNA". It matches the Rfam family "Eukaryotic small subunit ribosomal RNA", at positions 703 to 1088 of the family's 1831-position model. Lineage: Eukaryota; Bacillariophyta; Thalassiosirophyceae; Thalassiosirales; Thalassiosiraceae. The record is from RNAcentral.
GGGGAGAUCCUGUUUGGCAUUAAGUUGUCGGGCAGGGGAUACCCAUCGUUUACUGUGAAAAAAUUAGAGUGUUUAAAGCAGGCUUAUGCCGUUGAAUAUAUUAGCAUGGAAUAAUAAGAUAGGACUUCGGAACUAUUUUGUUGGUUUGCGUUACGAAGUAAUGAUUAAUAGGGACAGUUGGGGGUAUUCGUAUUUCAUUGUCAGAGGUGAAAUUCUUGGAUUUCUGAAAGACGAACUACUGCGAAAGCAUUUACCAAGGAUGUUUUCAUUAAUCAAGAACGAAAGUUAGGGGAUCGAAGAUGAUUAGAUACCAUCGUAGUCUUAACCAUAAACUAUGCCGACUCAGGAUUGGCGGUUGUUUUUUGACUCCGUCAGCACUG